This 301-nucleotide ribosomal RNA is filed under the name uncultured bacterium. RNAcentral's name for it is "partial 16S ribosomal RNA". It matches the Rfam family "Bacterial small subunit ribosomal RNA", at positions 509 to 807 of the family's 1533-position model. The record is from RNAcentral.
CAGCCGCCGCGGUAAUACGGAGGGUGCAAGCGUUAAUCGGAAUUACUGGGCGUAAAGCGCACGCAGGCGGUCUGUCAAGUCGGAUGUGAAAUCCCCGGGCUCAACCUGGGAACUGCAUUCGAAACUGGCAGGCUAGAGUCUUGUAGAGGGGGGUAGAAUUCCAGGUGUAGCGGUGAAAUGCGUAGAGAUCUGGAGGAAUACCGGUGGCGAAGGCGGCCCCCUGGACAAAGACUGACGCUCAGGUGCGAAAGCGUGGGGAGCAAACAGGAUUAGAUACCCGGGUAGUCCCUGUCUCUUAUAC